UACAUAGGUUGCAAGCGUUAUCCGGAAUUAUUGGGCGUAAAGCGUCUGUAGGUUGUAUGUUAAGUCUGGCGUGAAAACUUGGGGCUCAACCCCAAAUUGCGUUGGAUACUGGCAUACUAGAAUUGUGUAGAGGUUAGCGGAAUUCCUAGUGAAGCGGUGAAAUGCGUAGAUAUUAGGAAGAACAUCAACAUGGCGAAGGCAGCUAACUGGGCACAUAUUGACACUGAGAGACGAAAGCGUGGGGAGCAAACAGG
Molecule: ribosomal RNA, 254 nt
Filed under: uncultured bacterium
Lineage: Bacteria
Description: partial 16S ribosomal RNA
Rfam family: Bacterial small subunit ribosomal RNA
Source: RNAcentral